Molecule: ribosomal RNA, 255 nt
Filed under: uncultured bacterium
Lineage: Bacteria
Description: partial 16S ribosomal RNA
Rfam family: Bacterial small subunit ribosomal RNA
Source: RNAcentral
UACAGAGGGUGCAAGCGUUGUUCGGAAUUACUGGGCGUAAAGCGUGCGUAGUCGGUAUUGAGAGUCGCGGGUGAAAUCCCAGGGCUUAACCCUGGAACUGCCUGCGAGACCUCAGUACUAGAGUGUGAGAGGGGAUAGUGGAAUACCAAGUGUAGCGGUGAAAUGCGUAGAGAUUUGGUGGAACACCGGUGGCGAAGGCGGCUAUCUGGCUCACAACUGACGAUCAGGCACGAAAGCGUGGGGGAGCAAACAGGG